UACGAUCACAUCACGCUGAAAUACCGGUUCCCGUAGUAUCACCGAAGUUAAGCAACGUUGAACCUGGUCCGUACCCAGAUGGGUGGCCGCUUGGGAAUACCAGAUGUU
Molecule: non-coding RNA, 108 nt
Organism: Acanthosepion pharaonis
Lineage: Eukaryota; Metazoa; Mollusca; Cephalopoda; Sepiida; Sepiidae
Source: the annotation of a GenBank genome assembly